CUUACCAUGGUUUUAACGGGUAACGGAGAAUUAGGGUUCUAUUCCGGAGAGGGAGCCUGAGAAACGGCUACCACAUCCAAGGAAGGCAGCAGGCGCGCAAAUUACCCAAUCCCGACACGGGGAGGUAGUGACAAUAAAUACUGAUACAGGGCUCUUUUGGGUCUUGUAAUUGGAAUGAGUACAAUGUAAAUACCUUAACGAGGAACAAUUGGAGGGCAAGUCUGGUGCCAGCAGCCGCGGUAAUUCCAGCUCCAAGAGCGUAUAUUAAAGUUGUUGCAGUUAAAAAGCUCGUAGUUGAACUUCCCCCGGCGCGGGCCCCUGUUUUUCGGGGGACUUGGGCCGGGGUCCUUCGGGAAAUUACUUUGAGUAAACGAGAGUGUUCAAAGCAGGCGCGCAGCCUGAAUCUUCAAGCAUGGAAUAAUAAAACAGGACAAUGGUUCUAUUUUGUUGGUUGUAAGCCAUCGUAAUGAUUAAUAGGGACGGUCGGGGGCAUCAGUAUUCAGUAGUCAGAGGUGAAAUUCUUAGAUUUACUGAAGACUAACUACUGCGAAAGCAUUUGCCAAGGACGUUUUCAUUAAUCAAGAACGAAAGUUAGGGGAUCGAAGAUGAUCAGAUACCGUCGUAGUCUUAACCAUAAACUAUGCCGACUAGGGAUCGGGCGCGCUCACAACAGACGCGCUCGGCACCUUACGAGAAAUCAAAGUUUUUGGGUUCUGGGGGGAGUAUGGUCGCAAGGCUGAAACUUAAAGGAAUUGACGGAAGGGCACCACCAGGAGUGGAGCCUGCGGCUUAAUUUGACUCAACACGGGGAAACUCACCAGGUCCAGACACAAUAAGGAUUGACAGAUUGAGAGCUCUUUCUUGAUUUUGUGGGUGGUGGUGCAUGGCCGUUCUUAGUUGGUGGAGUGAUUUGUCUGCUUAAUUGCGAUAACGAACGAGACCUUGGCCUCUAACUAGGGUGCGCAGCGGUAGCUACGCGACCUUCUUAGGGGGACUAUUGAUGUAAGUCGAUGGAAGUUCGAGGCAAUAACAGGUCUGUGAUGCCCUUAGACGUUCUGGGCCGCACGCGCGCUACACUGACGGAGGCAGCGAGUUGACCUUUGCCGAGAGGCAUGGGAAAUCUUGAAACUCCGUCGUGCUGGGGAUAGAGCAUUGCAAUUUUUGCUCUUCAACGAGGAAUUCCUAGUAAGCGCAAGUCAUCAGCUUGCGUUGAUUACGUCCCUGCCCUUUGUACACACCGCCCGUCGCUACUACCGAUU
Molecule: ribosomal RNA, 1259 nt
Filed under: uncultured fungus
Lineage: Eukaryota; Fungi
Description: SSU rRNA
Rfam family: Eukaryotic small subunit ribosomal RNA
Source: RNAcentral